AUGCUCUUUGUAGCGAUUGGCCAAGGCAGAUGUUGUUUUCAAGUCACCGAAAGAAGACAAUUCAACUCGACAUUCAAGGAUGAGUAACUUGGGUGCUUGGUGAAGGACUUGGGUUUUUAUCAAGGUACAAAUCAUCUUUUUCUUUCUUUUGUUUCGGUAAAUAUCUUCACAACAAUAUUCACUCCAUUUGAUAGAAAUCACAUAGAGUAUUCUUUUGUCACCGGAAAUAUCACAUGUUGAAUCAUCUAAAUCAUAGUAAUCAUGAUGAUGUUGUUAUUCAGCAAUAAAGAUUAUGGGUGACAGUGGAGAGAUUUGUGACACAGUCAGACACACUGUCCAUUAGAGAAAUCACAACUACAUUUCCUAGUUUCGUAUUUCACUCUCAAGUUGAAGAUACCUAAUGAAGCAACUGCAUUCUCUUGCUAGAUUGAUUUUUCUUGGUUGCUUGUGAACUCUCCAACAAAGAUUUGGUUAAGAUGGAUUUAUGAAUUGUUGUAUAUAUUUUCAUUUACUUGAAUUCUGCAUUCCUUUUUUGGCGGGUAGGUUUGGUUUGUCCAUUGAAGAAUUGAAUUUGUUAAUUUCACCUUAGAAUAUUCUGGUGUUUCAGAAUUAGAACCGGAUGAUUAUGAAUAUAAAUUUAUCUGACAAUAUUGUUUCUGAGUGGUUCAAGUAAAAUGAUAAGAAUUUUUUUCAACCCUCCAAUUUUAGAAGAAUGACCCCUGGUAAUUUGAAAUUUGAUAUAGAGGUAAGUAUAAGAAUAUAGGAAUGUAAUUUCCUCAUUUAUAAGAAUGUAAUUUCAUCAUUUAAUUCAUCAUAGUAAAGGAUAUAUAUACAAUGAUAAUGU
Molecule: long non-coding RNA, 844 nt
Filed under: Medicago truncatula (barrel medic)
Lineage: Eukaryota; Viridiplantae; Streptophyta; Magnoliopsida; Fabales; Fabaceae
Description: lncRNA gene8491
Source: RNAcentral